RNAcentral lists this ribosomal RNA (484 nucleotides) under uncultured bacterium. RNAcentral's name for it is "partial 16S ribosomal RNA". It matches the Rfam family "Bacterial small subunit ribosomal RNA", at positions 29 to 507 of the family's 1533-position model. The record is from RNAcentral.
AUUGAACGCUUGCGGCAUGCUUUACACAUGCAAGUCGAACGGCAGCGCGGGCUUCGGCCUGGCGGCGAGUGGCGAACGGGUGAGUAAUGCAUCGGAACGUGCCCAGUAGUGGGGGAUAGCCCGGCGAAAGCCGGAUUAAUACCUCAUACGACCUGAGGGUGAAAGCGGGGGACCGAAAGGCCUCGCGCUAUUGGAGCGGCCGAUGUCGGAUUAGCUAGUUGGUGGGGUAAAGGCUUACCAAGGCGACGAUCCGUAGCUGGUCUGAGAGGACGACCAGCCACACUGGGACUGAGACACGGCCCAGACUCCUACGGGAGGCAGCAGUGGGGAAUUUUGGACAAUGGGGGCAACCCUGAUCGAGCCAUGCCGCGUGCGGGAAGAAGGCCUUCGGGUUGUAAAACGCUUUUGUUAGGGAAGAAAUCCUGUGGGCUAAUACCACGGGGGGAUGACGGUACCGGAAGAAUAAGCACCGGCUAACUACGUG